This 254-nucleotide ribosomal RNA is filed under the name uncultured bacterium. RNAcentral describes it as "partial 16S ribosomal RNA". It matches the Rfam family "Bacterial small subunit ribosomal RNA", at positions 524 to 776 of the family's 1533-position model. The record is from RNAcentral.
UACCGGGGGAGCAAGCGUUGUUCGGAUUUACUGGGCGUAAAGGGCGCGUAGGCGGUCGUGACAAGUCACUUGUGAAAUCUCCGGGCUUAACUCGGAACGGUCAAGUGAUACUGUCGGACUAGAGUACAGAAGGGGCAACUGGAAUUCUCGGUGUAGCGGUGAAAUGCGUAGAUAUCGAGAGGAACACCUGCGGCGAAGGCGGGUUGCUGGGCUGAUACUGACGCUGAGGCGCGAAAGCCAGGGGAGCGAACGGG